UUCAAUAUGGCGGUUCCGUCUGUCGUUGAAUUGUUUAGGCUUAGGCUUGUUUUUACUCUUGAGUGUUGAGAUUGGAAUUUUGUCGUUGGGAUUUCUAUUCAUAGGUUGGUUAUUUUCGUUCGUAGUUGUUGAUUCGGGGGGGGGGGGGGGGGAUAUAUUUAGUUUGUGUUGCUGCUUUAAAAUUUGUUUGGAUUGAGAUUUGCAAUAUCGAGCUGAUGGUGAUCAUUUUGAGGCUUUUGGUUGAGGAUUUCGGACUUUGGUUUUCAUCGAUUCAUUAUUAUCAGUGAAAAUCUGCUCUCUUGAGGUCCAAUUCUACUCCUUUCAUCUUUUAUUUCAUUAUUGGUGAUGUUUGAUGUGUUGGAUUGAAUAUCUUAAUUGCUUGUGUGUGAUGUGAAUGUUGAAUAUUGAUUUUACAGUAAUUGUGGAUUGUUGAAAAUAGUGGUGUGAAUUAUUAUGUUUGAUCUUGGUUUAAAAUUAAAUUGGGGUAGGAUUGAGAUUUGAAAAUUGAUAAAAUAAAAAAAAGCAAGCUUUAAUUUAUUUUUGAAUCAUUGCUGACGUUGAAUGUGAUAAUGCCAUGAUAGAUAGAGCUCAUGUAGGAAAACAUAGGUUGGGUACGCAAACUUAGGAAUGGUGAUUUGUGAAUGUGUAAUGUGAUUGGUUCGUUCUACUUUAUCACACACAUAGUUGAAAUUGUACUCAUUUGGCCAGGGAAUGCCCCGAGUAUUUGUAUUGAUUUAACCAGGGAAUACCUCGAAGUAUCAUGUACGCAAAAGAGGUCCGUGAUCAAGGCCUGAGGAAUCGGGUAAAGCAUUGGAGCGUAGUUUAGGACUAGCUUAGAAUAGGAUUUAUAUUUUUUUCGCAUUUUUCUAUUUUGGACUGUAUAAUUGGACUAGACAUUAUUAUUUUAGUUUUGGACUGUUGUUUGAUGUGUUUGUUGC
This 938-nucleotide long non-coding RNA is filed under the name Capsicum annuum. RNAcentral's name for it is "long non-coding RNA (CANN_LNC015129)". Lineage: Eukaryota; Viridiplantae; Streptophyta; Magnoliopsida; Solanales; Solanaceae. The record is from RNAcentral.